UACGGGAGGGCAGCAGUGGGGAAUAUUGCACAAUGGGCGCAAGCCUGAUGCAGCCAUGCCGCGUGUAUGAAAAAGGCCUUCGGGUUGUAAAGUACUUUCAGUCGUGAGGAAGGUGUUAAGGUUAAUAACCUUAGCAAUUGACGUUAGCGACAGAAGAAGCACCGGCUAACUCCGUGCCAGCAGCCGCGGUAAUACGGAGGGUGCGAGCGUUAAUCGGAAUUACUGGGCGUAAAGGGCACGCAGGCGGUUAAUUAAGUUGGAUGUGAAAUCCCCGGGCUUAACCUGGGAAUGGCAUUCAAGACUGGUUAGCUAGAGUCUUGUAGAGGGGGUAGAAUUCCAUGUGUAGCGGUGAAAUGCGUAGAGAUGUGGAGGAAUACCGGUGGCGAAGGCGGCCCCUGGACAAAGGCUGACGCUCAUGUGCGAAAGCGUGGGGAGCGAAAC
RNAcentral lists this ribosomal RNA (441 nucleotides) under uncultured bacterium. Its description in RNAcentral is "bacterial SSU rRNA". It matches the Rfam family "Bacterial small subunit ribosomal RNA", at positions 340 to 774 of the family's 1533-position model. The record is from RNAcentral.